This 459-nucleotide ribosomal RNA is filed under the name uncultured bacterium. Its description in RNAcentral is "partial 16S ribosomal RNA". It matches the Rfam family "Bacterial small subunit ribosomal RNA", at positions 338 to 795 of the family's 1533-position model. The record is from RNAcentral.
CCUACGGGUGGCAGCAGUGAGGAAUAUUGGUCAAUGGGCGAGAGCCUGAACCAGCCAAGUCGCGUGAGGGAGUACUGCCCUAUGGGUUGUAAACCUCUUUUGUCGGGGAGCAAAAGCCGGACGUGGCCGGCUGUGAGAGUACCCGAAGAAAAAGCAGCGGCUAACUCCGUGCCAGCAGCCGCGGUAAUACGGAGGAUGCGAGCGUUCUCCGGAUUUAUUGGGGUUACAGGGAGCGUCGGUGGAUUGUUAAGUCCGUUGUGAAAGUUUGCGGGUCAACCGUAAAAUUGCAGUUGAAACUGGCAGUCUUGAGUACAGUAGAGGUGGGCGGAAUUCGUUGUGUAGCGGUGAAAUGCUUAGAUAUCACGAAGAACUCCGAUUGCGAAGGCAGCUCACUGGACUGCAACUGACACUGAGGCUCGAAAGUGUGGGUAUCAAACAGGAUUAGAUACCCCAGUAGUC